CGAUUGCGAAGGCAGCUUGCUGGACUNUAACUGACGCUGAGGCACGAAAGCGUGGGGAUCAAACAGGAUUAGAUACCCUGGUANNCCACGCNNUAAACGAUGAAUGCUAGCUGUUAGCGAUAUACUGUUAGCGGCACAGAGAAAUCGUUAAGCAUUCCACCUGGGGAGUACGCCGGCAACGGUGAAACUCAAAGGAAUUGACGGGGGCCCGCACAAGCGGAGGAACAUGUGGUUUAAUUCGAUGAUACGCGAGGAACCUUACCUGGGCUUAAAUUGCAGUGGAAUAACGUGGAAACAUGUUAGCCUUCGGGCCGCUGUGAAGGUGCUGCAUGGUUGUCGUCAGCUCGUGCCGUGAGGUGUCGGCUUAAGUGCCAUAACGAGCGCAACCCUCAUCGAUAGUUACUAACAGGUUAAGCUGAGGACUCUAUCGAGACUGCCGACGUAAGUCGUGAGGAAGGUGGGGAUGACGUCAAAUCAGCACGGCCCUUACGUCCAGGGCUACACACGUGUUACAAUGGGGGGUACAAAGGGCAGCUACCUGGCGACAGGAUGCUAAUCUCAAAAACCUCUCUCAGUUCGGAUUGGAGUCUGCAACCCGACUCCAUGAAGCUGGAUUCGCUAGUAAUCGCGCAUCAGCCACGGCGCGGUGAAUACGUUCCCGGGCCUUGUACACACCGCCCGUCAAGCCAUGGGAGCCGGGGGGACCUGAAGUAUGCAACCGUAAGGAGCGUCCUAGGGUAAAACUGGUGACUGGGGCUAAGUCGUAACAAGGUAGCCU
This 778-nucleotide ribosomal RNA is filed under the name uncultured prokaryote. Its description in RNAcentral is "bacterial SSU rRNA". It matches the Rfam family "Bacterial small subunit ribosomal RNA", at positions 710 to 1502 of the family's 1533-position model. The record is from RNAcentral.